Humulus lupulus (European hop) is the source of this 490-nucleotide long non-coding RNA. RefSeq lists it as uncharacterized. The record is from RefSeq and is a predicted model, not a curated record. The transcript has 3 exons. NCBI's taxonomy places the organism in Eukaryota, Viridiplantae, Streptophyta, Magnoliopsida, Rosales, Cannabaceae.
CUGUGGUCCAUUCUGUUUCAGAAAAAUGUUUAUUCUUUGUUUGUAGUUUCCUUUCAUCUUCUACUUAAAUUUACUCUUUGAACUUGGAGUUAGAGGAGAAAAUCAACAGUAAGAAUCUUAUUAAAUGCUUUUUUGACACCUUAUUUUAAGACAUAAGAAAUCUUACUAAACAGUGAGACUAAUGUAGCUAAAUGCUGUCAGUCAUUAAAUUUUUAUGAAGUUUAAUUUUAAUUUUCCUUUAGAUGAAGACAACCCUUGAUGUGGUAGCAGGUUCAAUCAGGGCUUACCGGACUCCAAUUUCCAAAGCUAAGCGAGGAGGGUAUAAGGAUACUCCAGCUGAUGAUUACUUGCAGUUGUUUUAAAGGCCAUGAUAGAGAAAACAAAUCUGGACCCAAGUGAAGUUGGGGAUAUAGUUGUUGGUACUGUUUUGCCACCUGGUUCACAAAGAGCAACAGAGUGUAGAAUGGCAGCAAUCUAUGCUGAUUUUCCU